ACGAACGCUGGCGGCGUGCCUAAUCCAUGCAAGUCGAACGAGAGCGACCGGUGCUUGCACUGGUCAAUCUAGUGGCGAACGGGUGAGUAACACGUGGGUAACCUGCCCAUCAGAGGGGGAUAACAUCCGGAAACGGAUGCUAAAACCGCAUAGGUCUUCGAGCCGCAUGGCUUGAAGAGGAAAAGAGGCGCAAGCUUCUGCUGAUGGAUGGACCCGCGGUGCAUUAGCUAGUUGGUGAGGUAACGGCUCACCAAGGCCGUGAUGCAUAGCCGACCUGAGAGGGUGAUCGGCCACAUUGGGACUGAGACACGGCCCAAACUCCUACGGGAGGCAGCAGUAGGGAAUCUUCCGCAAUGGACGCAAGUCUGACGGAGCAACGCCGCGUGAGUGAAGAAGGUUUUCGGAUCGUAAAACUCUGUUGUUAGAGAAGAACAAGUGCUAGAGUAACUGUUAGCGCCUUGACGGUAUCUAACCAGAAAGCCACGGCUAACUACGUG
This 497-nucleotide ribosomal RNA is filed under the name uncultured bacterium. Its description in RNAcentral is "partial 16S ribosomal RNA". It matches the Rfam family "Bacterial small subunit ribosomal RNA", at positions 29 to 507 of the family's 1533-position model. The record is from RNAcentral.